GAAAUUAUCGUGUUGCUAUUCAUUAUUGCUAAUAUUCUCGCCUAUUAAGGAAACAAACGAUCGUUUAUCAAAGAUUCUCGUAACUCACAAAAUACCCAAUUCAAAGUACGAAAACAAAGAAAACUGCUGAAACCUCACAUUGAUUGUUACUUACCUGAUAGCCUUCUGACCAGUGACUAACAACAAAAUUUUCAUUAAUCCCGUAUUCCCCCACAACUCCGAUUAGCAAAAUAAAAUAAAACGAAAAAGAACGAAGAAGAAGAUAGAAGUGAUGAAGAAGAAAGAAAUAAAAAAGAUUAAAGAAGAAAUAAAAAAUAUUAAAGAAGAAAGAACUAACGUUAAUUAAAUUCCUAACUUCCAAGCAGAUUUCUAACAUUUGAAAAAAAUUUUCCUUAUCGUCCCCUUCGGGACUCAAACACGGG
RNAcentral lists this long non-coding RNA (422 nucleotides) under Gossypium raimondii (Peruvian cotton). RNAcentral's name for it is "long non-coding RNA (GRAI_LNC000257)". The record is from RNAcentral. Lineage: Eukaryota; Viridiplantae; Streptophyta; Magnoliopsida; Malvales; Malvaceae.